RNAcentral lists this long non-coding RNA (7749 nucleotides) under Vitis vinifera (wine grape). RNAcentral's name for it is "long non-coding RNA (VVIN_LNC006326)". The record is from RNAcentral. Lineage: Eukaryota; Viridiplantae; Streptophyta; Magnoliopsida; Vitales; Vitaceae.
GCACCCCUCUAAGUCCCUAAAGUCGGGUCUCUACUAAUAAAGUGAAACUGACGUGACAAUCGAAUAAGAAAGUCAAUGGAUACUCACAUCAAUCAUGCAUAUAUGAGAAUCAGAAUAUGUAUAGUGAAUGAUCAGAAUGAGUGAAUGCAUACCUGGGCAGCAAACAGCAACGCGCUAUCAAGAAACGGGAUUAGUGCACAAUUAAUGAAUACAAAACAUAGCUCAUACAUAUCGGAGUGCAAAGCGAAGCUCAAACAAAAUACAGUAAGCACGAAAAUUGACAGUCAAAAGGGGUCAAACAUAGGGCCCCCAACAAAGCCCGAUUUAUUGUUCAUGAGCUAAUCCCACAAAUCCCCUGUUUUGGAAUUAUGAAGGAAUCACUGUUGUUUAUGUAAAAUCAAGAAGAUCAGAAGAUUAUUUAGGAACUGAAAUGUGAUUAAGAACUAUUCGAGUGAAAACUGAAUUAUUGGAGCUUAUUUGAAAAUUGAAGUAUUUGGAAUUAAAUUUUGAAGAUUAGAGCUCUGGUGAUUAAAUCGAAAUUUUUAAAGAAAAUGAGAAACGGACUUUAGGAAAUUGAACUGCGAGACCAUAGACUUUUGAAAGUUGAAUUUAUAAUAAUGAUAGUAAUGAGGUCUUGAGAGGUUGAAUUAAUAAUAAUAAUAAUUAUAAGAUUUCGAAAGUUGAAUUUAUAAUAAUGAUAGUAAUGAGGUCUUGAGAGGUUGAAUUAAUAAUAAUAAUAAUUAUAAGAUUUCGAAAGUCUGAAUUGACGAUAAUAAUAACAAUAAUAAGAUUUUGAAGGUGUGAAUUAAUAAUAAUAAUAAUAAUAAGAUUUUGAGAAUUUGGAUUAAUGAUAAUAAUAAUAAUAAUAAAUAGAUUUUGAAAGUUGAGUUAACAAUAAUGAUAAUAAGAGAGUUUGGAUUAAUGAUGAUAAUAAUAAUAAUAAAUAGAUGUUGAAAGUGCGAAUUAAUGAUAACGAUAAUGAUGAGAUUUUGAAAGUUGGGAUUAAUGAUAAUAAUAAAUAAUAAUAAAUGGAUGUUGAAAAUGUGAAUUAAUGAUAAUGAUAAUGAUGAGAUUUUGGAGGUUUGGAUUAGUGAUAAUAAUAAGUUAUAAUAAAUAGAUUUUGAAAGUUGAGUUAAUAAUAAUAUUAAUAAUGAGAUUUUUGGAAGUUUGGGUUGAUGAUGAUAAUAAUAAUAAUAAAUAGACUUUGAAAGUUGGGUUUAUAAUAAUAAUAAUGAGGGUUUUGAAAGUUUGGAUUAAUGAUAGUAAUAAUAGUACUAAAUAGAUUUUGAAAGUUGAAGUAAUAAUAAUAAUAAUAAUGAGAUUUUUGAAAGUUUGGAUUAAUGAUGAUAAUAAUAAUAAUAAUAAAUAGAUGUUGAAAGUGUGAAAUAAUAAUGAUGAUAAUAAUGAGAUUUUGAAAGUUGGGAUUAAUGAUGAUAAUAAUAAUAGUAAUAAAUAGAUUUUGAAAUUUGUGAAAUAAUAAUGAUGAUAAUAAUGAGAUUUUGAAAGUUGGGUUAAUAAUAAUAAUAGUAAUGAAAUUUGUGAAUGUUGAGUUAGUAAUAAUAAUAGUAGGAUUUUGAAAGUUUGGAUUAAUGAUAAUAAUAAUAAGAAUAAAUAGAUUUUGAAAGUUGAGGUAAUAAUAAUAGUAAUAAGAUUUUGAGAGUUGAAUUAAUAAUAAUCAUAGUGAUAAUAAUAAUAAUAAUGACAAGAACAAUGAUAAUAAUAAUAAUAAUAAUAAUGACAAUAAUAAUAAUAAUAAUAAUAAUAAUAACAAUAAUAAUAACCAUAAUAAUAAUAAUAAUAACAAUGAUAACAAUAAUUAAUAAUAAUAAUAAUAAUAAAUGAUAACAUGCAUCCAUCAAACCCAAAGCCCAUAAGCAUGGAUCCACUAACAAGCCUCAUCUUCAACAAGCCCAGUCCAUAAGCCUAAACCCAUAAGCCUAAGCCCACAAGCCUAAGCCUAAGCCUCCAAAGCCCAUCAGCAAAGCUCAAGCCCAAAUCAAUGAGUAAGCCCAAGCCCUUUAUCACAUGCUCUUCUUCCUCAUCUCCGGAGACAGUGACGGAGAAAAAUGGAGGUGAGAGAGACAUCGUCGGAGGUCCUCGGAGUUGGUCCAAGCUGCCAUCCUCCCGCGCCACCUCGGACAUGCCCAACUGCAGCAGCCUAGUGUCGGUGUGGAGCCUGCUGCUGCAGCCUUCAUAGGAGCGUGGAGCUUCGUCGGCCGGAAUCUGGUCGUUGAGGAAGAGCUCAUGUGCUGACAGCAUCCUCGACGUCGUCGUCGCGGAGCUCCCAUAGUAGGCGAGCCAUGUGGAAGAUUCGAACCCGGCGCCGGUGGACGAUGAGGCUACGGUUAAAGUGGACGGCGUCGGCAUUACGCAAGGUGCGAAGUGCAUGGGGCUCACCGGAGUGCUGUAGAAGAAAAACACCGCUUCCGGAGCCGCGUCCUAGGCUGGAGGGAGCAUUGACGUGGGGGGUGGAGCUAGAGAGAGAAAAUGUGGUGGAAAUGAUAAUGGGUGAGUGUGGCGAGGGUUGACGGAGUUGGGGAUGUGCAUGAGAGAUGAUGGGCAUGAAGAGAUCCAAAAAAAAAAAAAAAAGAUGGGUAUGGUGAUCUCGGAUGUGAGUGGUUAAAUGGGGGUUUGUGAACAAAGCAUGAAUCAAUAAUGUCAAAGCACACUUAUAACUCAAACCUCAUCCAACAAUACAUCAACUACUAGCUAUCCAUAUCUGGAUCAAAGGGAAAAUGACCAGAAAAUAACUCAAGAAAGAAAGAAAAAAAUGGGACAAUCAGAUGCUAAGUAGGAGCAAGGAGUCAUCAAUGGCAUACCUGGGGACGCUCCCUUCUUCUUCAAGCUUCACUUUCCAAGAUCCCUCGAACCAGCCCGCUCUCCCCCUCCUCCUUCCUGUUGCCCUGGUCCCGCUUGCCUUUUCUUCUUUCCCCCGUUCUUUUUUUUCUCUUCGUGUCUUCUUCAGCAAGCCCGCCGUAUCCCGUCCCAUCUGCAGCCCAAAAGCUCUGCCUUCUUCCUGCUUUUCUUCCAACCGUCCUCGGGUGGAUAAAGAAAGUAGAAAAGAAGAAGAAAAAAAAAAGAAAAUGCAUGAAAAUAAAAAAAACCUGCCCCCAGUUGAGGGGGUCUACAGUAAUCCUUUCAUAGCUUUUAACUAUAACUUUGUUGAAAAUCUUACUCCUUCCUCCUUGUCUUCCUCUUAUAAUUUCUAAGUUUCAACUUUUUUUUUUUUCUUUUUAAUAAUAAUAUUGGUUUUAUGUUUUAAUGAAAUAGGUUGCAAAUUUGAAGAAAACAUAUUCUAAUGUAUUUAUUGAUUAUAGCUCUUUCUUCAAAAGGGUUAUCGUUAUUUACAUUCUCAAACUAAUCAAAUUUACAUCUCUAGAUAUGUAAUCAUUGAUGAGUUUGAGUUUUCCUUUACUAACAAAACUUCUACCAUAUCUUUCUUAUAGGAACAAAGUCAAAUGACCAUAUUUUGAGAUUUCGAUCAGCAGUCACAACCAUUCAAUCCAAACACCAACUCAACCCACAACUUCACUCCCACCAAACAACCUUUCAAACCAUCGUAAUAGUGUAGAUCUUCUAUUUUGUCUUUUUAACACAUCUCAUCUAAAUUUGUCUUUCUUACAUACUUUAACACCUUAUUAUGCACUUAUGGUCAUUUUUCUAAGCUGUUUUUUUUAAAUUAUCUUUUAUUCUUUGUGAUUAUGUUGAUUACUAAUUAUUUUAUUUUAUUUUAUUUUAUGCAAGAGUCAUUCUAAAGGGAUUAAAUGCAUUCCAAUAUUGAUUUUAAUGAUUUUUAAAUCUUAAUUCAGGACUUUAUUUUUUAUUGAUGUAUAACAUAUUUAGGUUUGUUUAAAAUUUUCAAACUUUAAUUUUAUAAAAUAGAUUCAAGUUUUGAAUUAAUUAAUAAUUGAUUUCAUUCUCUUUAAAAUGUAGAAUAUGAUAAAAGGCCUGCAACAAAUUCAAACAAAUCUUUAUACAAGUGAGAAUUUAUGUCAUCCAAUCAUUUUAUUAAAAAUCACUCUAUAAAUUAUAAAAAUAAAGAUAUUAAUCACAUCUAUUAAUAUGUUUUUUUUUUAAAUUGACAAAUCAUGAUGAAAUUAUAAUCUUUUUAAUAUUUUAUUAAUUAUAAAUUAAAACAUCACUAUAAUUAUUCAAUCCCCACAGAAUAUAAAAUGAGUUAUUUUCAGUAAUAAUAAUAAUAAUAACUAAUCAUAUUUGAAUAACAUUUCAUCAAUUAUAUAUCAAAAUAAAGUUUUAUGUUUAUCAUAACCUAUGUUUUAAAACAAAAUAAUAAAAGUUAUAUUUCCAUUUAAAUGUAUUUAGAUAUCUACCUCCAUAGCCCAUGGUAUUAAAAUAAUCUAAUAAAACACAGUAUCCCAUAACCGGUCAACAGCACAGCUGCUCCUAGCCUUAGCCUCUUGCAGCUGCAAUCAGCUGUUCCACUCUCUGUUACAGGAGUUUAAGACCAAAAUAAUAUAUUUGUAAAAAAAAAUGAUAAGAAUAGUAUCCAUUUGAAAAUAUUUGCCAAAGUAGUCUUCUUUAUCCACGUAAGCAUCCACAUGGAUUUUAAGUGUAAAGAACCACCGUUGGUGACUGUGGUUUUAGAACUUACAAAAAUUUCCUUAAAACCACAGUUACAAACUGUGGUUUUACAAUUUCUCUUAGAACCACAGUUACUAACUGCGGUUUUAAAAGAAGUUUCCUUAAUACCACAGUUACAAACUGUGGUUUUACAAUUUCCUAACUUUACAAUUAUUUUUAAAAUAUUUUUUUUAUUAAAACAACCAUAAAACCACAGUUAGUAACUGUGGUUUUACUAAUGGUGUUGUAAUUCAAAUUAGUGAUGUUAUGUUAUUCACAUGUUUCCUUGAUAAUUUAAACAAAUAAAACUCAAAUGCAUCCUAAAGUCUAAAUGAAAGAAAUUAUAACUAAAUAAAUUAUUACAACCAUUACCUAUUUUUCUUUCAUAUAAUUAAAAAAUUAUACAUUUUAACCAAGACAUAAGUUCAAAUCAUACUUAAUAAUAAAUAACCUAAAAUCAUAAUCACUAACAUUAAUUUUCAUAUGAAAAGAUAAAAUUUUAAAAUAAUAUAAACAAUUUCUUUAGUUAUUUUAAAAUUUAAAAAUAAUAUGAAUAAAUAAUUUUCUUUAGUUCAUAUGUGAAAAUAUUUGUAAAACAAAUAAAUAUUUUAUUUACUAUAAAUAUAUAAAUUUUUAUGGGAAUGCAUGUAGACCAAAUUAUUUUCUCAAAUUUUCAAGGAAAAUAUGAAAAAAUAAAGAUAAAAUAUAUAUAUAUAUAUUUUUAAAUAGUCGUAACAAAAAAAUUUGUGAAAAGCAAAGUUCUAAAAUCCCAUACUUUUUUAUACAUGAGUCCCCUUAAAAAUAUUUGUGAAAAUUACAACAUAAUUGUAAUUUUGAUAAAAAAAUAUUUUAAAAAUAAUAUUAAAAUUACAACACCAUUAAAAUAGAUGUGGAUUAAAAAUAAUUGUAAAACCACAGUUACUAACUGUGGUUUUAUAGUUAUUUUGAUAAAAAUUAUUUUAAAAAUAAUAUUAAAAUUACAACACCAUUAGUAAAACCACAGUUACUAACUGUGGUUUUAUGGUUGUUUUGAUAAAAAAAAAUAUUUUAAAAAUAAUAUUAAAAUUAUAACACCAUUAAAAUGAGGACGGAUUAAAAAUAAUUGUAAAACCACAGUUACUAACUGUGGUUUUAAGGGAAAUUGUAAAACCACAGUUUGUAACUGUGGUUUUAAGGAAACUUCUUUUAAAACCGCAGUUAGUAACCGUGGUUCUAAGAGAAAUUGUAAAACCACAGUUUGUAACUGUGGUUUUAAGGAAAUUUUUGUAAGUACUAAAACCACAGUCACCAACGGUGGUUCUUUACACUAAAAAUCCAUGUGGAUGCUUACGUGGAUAAAAAAGAUUACUUUGACAAAUAUUUUCAAAUGGAUACUAUUCUUAUCAUUUUUUUUUACAAAUAUAUUAUUUUGGUCUUAAACUCCUGUUACAGUCCAGCUUUGGCCGCCCAAGACAUACAUCUUUUCACCCAUCAGCCAUUACCCCUGCCACAGCUCAUACUAAAGCUGCCAUAACCUAUACCCCAUAACCUAAUAUACGACUCUCACAACCGCCCUUUGUAAGAGUCACACAAAAGCCAAAUUUUUAUUAUUAUUAUUUUUAAUCAACUCCAGCACAGCCUCGUCAGACGCCGAGCCUCCUGAUCUCAUCUCCAAACACGUUCUGCAGCUGAAUCCUUUGCCUUUAUGAAGUUUGGAUGUUGGUGGUGGGAUGUGCUUUUCCUUUCUCAAUUAUUUCUGCUUAGCUGUAUCCCUCUAGCUUUGAACUUUCACUUUUGUCCCUUUUGGCAGUCAACAAUGGCCGACAGUCUUGCCUCUGCGAUUUACAGCUGAUCUUUUCUUUUAGGGAGAGUUGGGAUUACUGGCUGUUAUACGAGAAAUACAUGGUUUUCAAAACCAUAUAACUGAAAUAUGAUUUACCUGAGAAAAAUUGUGAGAGUUGAGUUGUCAUUUUCGCCAUUUUAGAAAAGACUUAAUUUUAAGACCGUUAGUAGGUAGAAAUAACAAGUUCACAAGAACGAAAGAGACCUUUGUUGACUGACCUAAGUAACCCCUUUCAUGGCUUUUUCACUUGUUUGUUUUUGGGUUUUCUUUAAUGAGGCUAGGUGAUUGUUGUUUAUUUUGACUUAUAUUUUAGAUGGAUUUCAUUUUUAAUAAGAGUUUUUCAUGGUAAAAAUUGAUGUGAUACAAAUUUUUAUUGAUAUUAAUAUCAUUUUAUCAUAAAUUAUUUAGAGUAUAGAUAUAAAUAAAAUAUCAAUACCAUAGGAAAUGUUAAAAUAAAGUUAGGUGCAUAUGCAAAAAAUAAAAUUUGAAAAAUAGAAUAGUCCAGUCCAACCAUAUCCACACAUCCAUCUUCCUAUAAAUGAAACUAAUGAUAGAUACAUAAGUCAAAAAUAAGAUUUGAAAAAGAGUAUAAUCCAAUUCAACUACCUAUCUUCCAAUAAAUUAAACUCAAAAUGGGCACAUAUUCCAAAAAUAAAUUUUGAAAAAUAAAAUAUUCCAAACCAACUUUAUCAACAUGUCCAUCUUCCAAUAAAUUAAAUUGGAAAUGAGUCGGCAUGUGAUAAAAUAAAUGUCAAUUUCCAUUUUACUUAUAUUAAAUUCACUUAUAUAUUUAUAUCGAAAAUUAUCCUUUGAAUAUUUCUAGAAACAUUAGUGUGGACUCCGCAUUUUGAUUGCUCAAUGCGUUUCCCACUCGAUGGCGAACUCGACUUUUAUUUGAAAAAUUGAUUUUUAUUGAUUAUUUGAAAAUGACUUGGAGUCGCCACUUAUUUUUGUUUUAUUUUUAAAGGGUAAACAAAAUAAGAAAGAAAAACCCUAAGUGUGACUCCUUAUUUUGGAAAAGGCGGUCUGUGAAAACCGGAUCGAGUUCGGGGGUCAGGUUACUUAUCGGGAAGGUACGGUAAAGACCGUAGCACCCCUCUAAGUCCCUAAAGUCGGGUCUCUACUAAUGAGAUGAAGCUGACAUGGCAAUCAAUGAGAAAAUCAAUGAAUACUCGAAUCAAUCAUGCACAUAUGAGAAACAAAGCAUGUAUAAAGAAUGAGCAAAAUAUGAAUAGAUGCGUACCUGGGCGGCAAUCACGAAUGCGCUAUCAUGAAACAUGGUUAGUGAACAAUGAACAUAUAUAAUUAAGCGCAUAUCAAGGAAUAGAGUAAAUCAAUCAUGCAUG